This 253-nucleotide ribosomal RNA is filed under the name uncultured bacterium. RNAcentral's name for it is "partial 16S ribosomal RNA". It matches the Rfam family "Bacterial small subunit ribosomal RNA", at positions 524 to 776 of the family's 1533-position model. The record is from RNAcentral.
GACGUAGGGCGCGAGCGUUGUCCGGAUUUAUUGGGCGUAAAGAGCUCGUAGGCGGCUUGUCGCGUCGUCCGUGAAAACCUGGGGCUCAACUCCAGGCCUGCGGUCGAUACGGGCAGGCUCGAGUUCGGUAGGGGAGACUGGAAUUCCUGGUGUAGCGGUGAAAUGCGCAGAUAUCAGGAGGAACACCGGUGGCGAAGGCGGGUCUCUGGGCCGAUACUGACGCUGAGGAGCGAAAGCGUGGGGAGCGAACAGG